UACAGAGGGGGCAAGCGUUGUUCGGAAUUACUGGGCGUAAAGGGCGCGUAGGCGGCCUGCUAAGUCGAACGUGAAAUCCCCAGGCUUAACCUGGGAACUGCAUUCGAGACUGCAUUGCUAGAGUAUGGGAGAGGGAAGUGGAAUUUCCGGUGUAGCGGUGAAAUGCGUAGAUAUCGGAAGGAACAUCAGUGGCGAAAGCGACUUCCUGGACCAAUACUGACGCUCAUGUGCGAAAGCGUGGGGAGCAAACAGG
This 253-nucleotide ribosomal RNA is filed under the name uncultured bacterium. RNAcentral describes it as "partial 16S ribosomal RNA". It matches the Rfam family "Bacterial small subunit ribosomal RNA", at positions 524 to 776 of the family's 1533-position model. The record is from RNAcentral.